CCCUAGUUAAAGCACGUUUAUUAUGUGUUUAGGGAUUUAACAAAUGAAGUUCAUUUGAAUUGGCCAUUCUCAGUACAAAUAGGGGCUAUGGCCGCUAUGCUAUAUAAUACUCAAGUUUAAGACCACGUUAGUGCGUUUCGAAGCAUGAACAGCAUUCGUGAACAUCCCUUUGUAGCCGUCUCAUCUAUAAAGCGUAGACUUUUCUCUGUGAGAAACAAAGGUGAUGCGUUUUCUGACCUGAUUAGUUUCACACUGUGCAGACUGCAAAAUUCUUUCUUAUGUGAAUGCAAUGGUCGGGUGUUGAAAUCCACAACGGACUAAACUUUAUGUGGAGUUCAUGAAUGAGGAUUGUUGAAAAGCCUUACGUACUGUCAGCAAGAUGGUGAGUUUCCUCGCCAUGUUAAGGUAUUGCUGUAUCUGGUGAUAUUCUCAUAAUCCAGAAAUGGUGAGUAAAGAAUGAAAUGAUGGCAGUGUUUGCCUUGAUGCCCAGAAUCCUACAGGAUAAGAAGCAUUUGGGGUAUAAGGUUUUCUCUGCCUUGUUUACAUACUGUACUUCUGAAAUUUAGAUGGCGUCUGCUCUAACCUGCGUCUUUCGAUAAUGUGCAGAGUGUGCAAAACGAGCGGAAGUUGGUUAAGGGCAUGGUUGGACUCAAAAAAUAAAAUUACAAUGCUAGUGCCACAUAGAUUGGGAGGAAGGGGUGGGCCGUGUGUUUGGUCGGUAGGAUGGAAACCCUAUUUCGGAACAGAUAUCCUGCUGUACCUGACAUCUACCACUCUCCUGGAGACGUCCAGUGUUUUAUCCGGGGAAAACAUCUUAAGAAAUUUCGUUAUCCAAAUUUGUAGGAAUUUCUAUUACAUGCAAGUUAACAGGAGUGUUCCGUGGGAAUAAAAUUAUGGAAAGGAAUUUAGCAAAUAGAUUUUUAUUUUUUUUUAUUACUUAGCAAAUAGAAUUUCUAUCCUCAUAAUUUUGAUGGGUAAAAACAACAUAUUCCGUUCUUACUGCUCCUGUUCCAUUUAAACUAUCUAAGUUUUCAUUACCCAAUCCGCUAGUUAAUGCAAAUAUAAAUGUACUUAAAUUUCUUUAAACUUAUAAAGAACAUAGAUCACAUUUCCUUUUUUUUUCUUUUGUUGGUAGUGUUACUAGAUCUGAACAGAAUUAAUGAGUCGUACGGCCAUUAGGAGAUUCAUAUGAUUUUCUUUAAAUUUCAUAGUUAAUAUGUGUGGCCUAGAUAUUUUAAGUGUGAAAAUAAAACUUAGUAUUAUGGCAGCUGAUUAAACAUCGGCCCGACUCAAUCAGUUUUUUUUUGCCAAUCACGCAGUGCUGAUAGGAGCUAGUGGUGAGCUUGAGCUGAAGUAGAAAAACAGUGAGCAUUGAGCUGGAGCGAAGACCUCAAAUGAUCUCUGCGUACGUACAGAACGUAUGCGUUUUUCUUGUAAACAUCUGUAAAGCUGCCGCCUUCAUUUAUUUUUGUGUGUGUGAUUAUUUACGUUUAUUGUUUAUAUUACGUUUUUAUUUACUUAUGCAAUACAUUACUUUUUACCUUUA
This 1546-nucleotide long non-coding RNA is filed under the name Daphnia magna. RNAcentral's name for it is "uncharacterized LOC116925091, transcript variant X4". Lineage: Eukaryota; Metazoa; Arthropoda; Branchiopoda; Diplostraca; Daphniidae. The record is from RNAcentral.